AGCAGCCGCGGUAAUUCCAGCUCCAAUAGCGUAUAUUAAAGUUGUUGCAGUUAAAAGCUCGUAGUUGAAUUUCGGGAUCAAUAUAUCGGUCGUGCCAUUGGUACGUACUGGUAUCAUUGGUUUCUCCUUUCUGACGAACCAUGAUGUCAUUAAUUUGGUGUUAUGGGAAGUUAGGACUGUUACUUUGAAAAAUUGAGUGUUUAAAGCAGGCUUUGGCUUGAAUACAUUAGCAUGGAAUAAUGAAAUAGGACGUUCGAACCUAUUUUGUGGUUUCUAGGAUCAACGUAAUGAUUAAUAGGGAUAGUUGGGGGCAUUAGUAUUCAAUUGUCAGAGGUGAAAUUCUUGGAUUUAUUGAAGACUAACUACUGCGAAAGCAUUUGCCAAGGAUGUUUUCAUU
RNAcentral lists this ribosomal RNA (397 nucleotides) under uncultured Glomeromycotina. RNAcentral's name for it is "SSU rRNA". It matches the Rfam family "Eukaryotic small subunit ribosomal RNA", at positions 569 to 974 of the family's 1831-position model. Lineage: Eukaryota; Fungi; Glomeromycota. The record is from RNAcentral.